GCCAGUAUAACUCAGUUGAUAAGACUGAUAAUCAAGACUGCACACAUUAGAGAUGUAUGAGUUCGAAUCUCACUGCUGGCA
RNAcentral lists this transfer RNA (81 nucleotides) under Blastomyces dermatitidis ER-3. RNAcentral describes it as "tRNA-Und (NNN) (tRNA-Und-NNN-30-1)". Lineage: Eukaryota; Fungi; Ascomycota; Eurotiomycetes; Onygenales; Ajellomycetaceae. The record is from RNAcentral.